This 446-nucleotide ribosomal RNA is filed under the name uncultured bacterium. RNAcentral's name for it is "partial 16S ribosomal RNA". It matches the Rfam family "Bacterial small subunit ribosomal RNA", at positions 338 to 795 of the family's 1533-position model. The record is from RNAcentral.
CCUACGGGUGGCUGCAGUCGAGAAUCAUUCACAAUGGGGGAAACCCUGAUGGUGCGACGCCGCGUGGGGGAAUGAAGGUCUUCGGAUUGUAAACCCCUGUCAUGUGGGAGCAAAUUAAAAAGAUAGUACCACAAGAGGAAGAGACGGCUAACGCUGUGCCAGCAGCCGCGGUAAUACAGAGGUCUCAAGCGUUGUUCGGAAUCACUGGGCGUAAAGGGUGCGUAGGCUGUUUCGUAAGUCGUGUGUGAAAGGCGCGGGCUCAACCCGCGGACGGCACAUGAUACUGCGAGGCUAGAGUAAUGGAGGGGGAAGCGGAAUGCUCGGUGUAGCAGUGAAAUGCGUAGAUAUCGAGAGGAACACUCGUGGCGAAGGCGGGUUCCUGGACAGUAACUGACGCUGAGGCACGAAGGCCAGGGGAGCGAAAGGGAUUAGAUACCCCGGUAGUC